AUACGGAGGGAGCAAGCGUUAUUCGGAAUCACUGGGCGUAAAGGACGCGUAGGCGGGUUUGUAAGUCAGGUGUGAAAUCCUACAGCUCAACUGUAGAACUGCACUUGAAACCACAGACCUAGAGUAUGGAAGGGGCAGAUGGAAUUAGUGGUGUAGGGGUAAAAUCCGUAGAUAUCACUAGGAAUACCGAAAGCGAAGGCGAUCUGCUGGGACAUUACUGACGCUGAGGCGUGAAAGCGUGGGGAGCAAACAGGAUUAGAAACCCUAGUAGUCC
Molecule: ribosomal RNA, 274 nt
Filed under: uncultured bacterium
Lineage: Bacteria
Description: partial 16S ribosomal RNA
Rfam family: Bacterial small subunit ribosomal RNA
Source: RNAcentral